AUGAGUCAGUGUGGAUUGAAAGACCCACAUAUCACUGGACUAAGUAGAACACAUGCAGCUAUAGCCAGAAGCUUUCCAGAAAGCAGGCACAUAUGUUAUGUGAACCUGAAGACAUCAGGAAGUGAUGAUCCAUACCACUGCCACCAGUUUUCACAUUUCACUUUCUGUUUCCUUGCCUGCUUGAUAUCCCAUCAUUAGUCAUUCUCUGUAUUCAGGUACUAUCCCUAGGCAUGCUCCCUUCUUACAUAAUUAUCUUUUGGGAAGGCUUUAAAAACUUUUUAAUAUACUGUAUGGGCCAGGCUCUUCUGCAUGAAUUUAGGUCAUGUAACUAUUAAGCGCUCACCAGGAUUGGAAUUCCUGUAACUCCAAGUUCAUUGCUCCAUGCAUUGAUUUUUCAAUAUAUGAUCCUGGAACAUCUGGGGGUUCUGGAGACUAUUUCAGUGGGUCUGUGAAAUCAGAACUGUUUUCAUAGUAUUAUUAAGACAGUAUCUGCCCCUUUUACUCUCAUGAUUGUAUGGUGGAGUUUUCCAGAAGCUACAUGAUAGGUGGCAUCACAAUGAAUCGAAUGCAGAAGCAAAUUUGAGAAUCCUGCUGUCUUCUCUUAAGCCAGACAUUAAAGAGGUUUGCAAAUAUAAAACAAUGCUUUUGUUUGUUUGCUGGCUUUGGAGCUUUAUGGGGUCCUCAAUAAUUUCGAAGAGUGUAAAGCAGCCUGAGAUCAAACUAUUUGAGAACCACUGAUCUGUGGCACAGCUGGUGUGGUGCCUAGCUGUCUUCCUCAGAAUGUGGGCUGAAUUCUGUUUUUCUGAGAUAGCCAAUUAAGAGAGGCAUUGGGUGAGGGAGAGGGGUGGGGAGAAAGACAGUCUCUGUCCAUAAAAGAUACAGACUUAGCAAUGAAAAGAUAGCAAGAAGGUGAAGAGAGGGCACAGAGAGGGGAGUCAGGAAGAAUUAGGAACAAGACUUGGUCCUGGCCCAGGACUGAUAGUGGGAUAUUGUGGUUGUAGUGGUAGGAACCAAGGCCUGGAGUGGUGUGACCUGGGCAAAACACUUAUCUUCACUGGGGCUUUACUUUCCUGAUUAUUGGUUGAAUUCAAUCAGGAUUCUCAACCCAGGAUUGUGAUAGAAUAAUAGAUAAUAAUACAGCAGUAAUUAAAGAUAAAAUAACAAAAUUGUGAAGGUUGUAAACAUUUACUUAAAAAAUGAACACAGAUUCAACGUGGUCCCGAAUCAUUAUGCUGCUCAACUCUUUUGAGUUCUGAUUUGCUUUCUUGAAUGAGAUUAUUGCCAGCAUAGAGUGGCUUAGUCAAGGGAGUAUAAGUCAUUAUAGCAGAGAAGAGAGGCAAAGAGCCAUUGGGAGUAGAUAGCUUAGAAAGUUUCUCUUUCAGCUCCAAGUCUCCAGAGGCCAAAACAGUGUUUGAUGUGCAUCCUGGUGACACACGUUCUUAAAGAACAGAAGAGGGAUAUGCUUAGAAGGAGGGUCAAGAGUUAACAGACUAGCCAGCUGCACAGACCUGGGAUUAUUGCUCAAUGCUGUUAUGUGAUAUUUGUGUGUCCUUGAGCAAGAGAUAUAAUCUCUCUGUUAAAAGGGAAUAAGAAUGCCCACUUUCUAGGGCUGUGGUAGCUGUUCAAUGUGAACAUGUGUCAGACUGGCUGCCUCAGAGCCAGCACUCGGUGAACACUGACCCUCUUCUCUUUUACCAAAGUGAGCAAAUAGAGAACUGAAAAAUACCACAUGAAAAGUUUGUCUAUUGGAGUGCUUCUUGACGAAAGCAGGGCUGCCUCAGAGAAGUGAGGUUAGAGGACUCAGGUGCUGAGUACAAGGGGACGCAACCUGGCAACGCUGGAUCCUGAAGCUGAGCAGGUAUGGAGAUGCCAUGUUGGUGGCCUCUUCCUUCCUGGUGGCAACAUGGGGUGUCUCCUCACUCAUAGCUGCUCCCCCGGGUCUCACUUCCUGGGAGACAUGAUGGAUGAGCCACCGCCAGCAGAGACUCUGCUCUCCAUUUAUCAUCUUCUGGCUUGCUCAGUGGAGCCAUUUGCUUUCCAACAGGUGAGUUGGAUGAGAUGGAUUACAUGUUGUCAAAAUGGUAAGUAAUGGGAUGCUGUGGUCAUUCUUUUGUAAUGUAGAAGUGGGAAACAUUUAAGCAUUUCAGCUUAGCUUAACAGCAAACUCAGGAAAUAGAUAUUUAUGAUUCCAGUCCUCCCUCCCCUAUCAGUUUUACUUAUCGACUAAAUUUAACACAAAAAGUGCCUUAAAAACCUUAUUCAGGUGUUUUUUUUUUUUAAAAGAUGUUCUUGGCACAAAAGAAUUUGGAGAAGAUAAAUACUAAGACUAAACCUUAUUUUACAGUACUUUAUAAAAACAAAUAUGGAAGGCAUAGAUUUGAGAAGAUAAUUCAUUGUCAGCCUUCGUUGGUUAGUUCCAUCAAAUGAGUUCCAACUGAAGAGUUACUCUUUGGCAUCUGAGAACCCCNNNNNNNNNNNNNNNNNNNNNNNNNNNNNNNNNNNNNNNNNNNNNNNNNNNNNNNNNNNNNNNNNNNNNNNNNNNNNNNNNNNNNNNNNNNNNNNNNNNAUCAAAUGAGUUCCAACUGAAGAGUUACUCUUUGGCAUCUGAGAACCCCAAGAGGUAUAGAGCUGAAGAUACAUGGUUUGCACACUCUCUUAGAGGCAGGAAGUGGGAAAAACAUAGGCUUUAGAGUCUGAGAGAUCUGUGUUUGAAUUUGGGCUCCAUUGCUUGCUAGCUGUGUGACUAUGGAAGUAUCUUUGACCAUGCUGAGUCUCAACUUUCCUAUCUGCUAAGUUGGAAGUUAGAAAGUCCACAUUGUAGAACUGUUUUGAAGGUGAGACAUACUGUACAUAAAGUGUAUUACAACAAACAGUUCAUUUCAGCCACUCAGUCAUGUCCAGCUUUUUGUGACUCCAUGGUCUCCAGCAUGCCAGGCUUCUCUGUCCAUCACCAACUCCUGGAGCCUGCUCAACUUCACAUCCAUCAAGUCUGUGGUGCCAUCCAACCAUCUCAUCCUCUGUCAUCCCCUUCUCCUC
Molecule: long non-coding RNA, 3036 nt
Filed under: Capra hircus (goat)
Lineage: Eukaryota; Metazoa; Chordata; Mammalia; Artiodactyla; Bovidae
Description: lncRNA (ENSCHIG00010008988.1)
Source: RNAcentral